This 192-nucleotide small nuclear RNA is filed under the name Trichomalopsis sarcophagae. RNAcentral's name for it is "U2 spliceosomal RNA". It matches the Rfam family "U2 spliceosomal RNA". Rfam says of the family: U2 is a small nuclear RNA (snRNA) component of the spliceosome (involved in pre-mRNA splicing). The record is from Rfam by way of RNAcentral. Lineage: Eukaryota; Metazoa; Arthropoda; Insecta; Hymenoptera; Pteromalidae.
CCCGUUUUAGGGGUAGUUACCCAUUAUAAACAAAAUUUCCUCUGUUCUUAUCAGCUUGAUAUCUGAUACGCUCCUCAUUGAGGAGCCAGAAUAUCGAACUGAUUUUUGGAAUAUGGCGGAGUGUCUGGGGCUUGCUCCGNAAAAAAAACGUGUAGCGUCCUGUAAGUUGUGGCUGUGCCCGUCUUAGAUUAU